This 555-nucleotide ribosomal RNA is filed under the name uncultured bacterium. Its description in RNAcentral is "bacterial LSU rRNA". It matches the Rfam family "Bacterial large subunit ribosomal RNA", at positions 24 to 576 of the family's 2925-position model. The record is from RNAcentral.
GUGGAUGCCUUGGCGUUAUCAGGCGAUGAAGGACGCAGCACGCUGCGAAAAGCUUCGGCGAGCCGCUAGCAGGCUUUGACCCGGAGGUCUCCGAAUGGGAAAACCCACCAGCACUCAAAAGCUGGUACGCGCUAGUCAAUUCAUAAGCUAGUGCGAGUCAUACGCGGAGAAGUGAAACAUCUCAGUAUCCGCAGGAAAAGAAAGCGAAGCGAUUCCGUCAGUAGUGGCGAGCGAAAGCGGAACAGCCCAAACCGGAGGGAUUUAUCCCGACGGGGUAGCGGGACCGAUUUUAGGAUUCCUAGACCUAGACGAACGGAAUGGAAAUUCCGGCCAAAAGAGGGGUGAUAGGCCCGUAGUCGAAAGGUUAAAGGAACCGUUCGGUAUCCCAAGUAGCACGAUGCACGUGAAACUUCGUGUGAAUCCGCGCCGACCACGGCGUAAGGCUAAAUACUCGAUAACGACCGACAGUGAACUAGUACCGCGAGGAAAGGUGAAAAAGCACCCCUGUUAGGGGAGUGAAACGAGUAACUGAAACUGAUUGCUACAAGUCAGUGG